GUGCAUGGGCCCAUGGACCACAGUCGGCUCUUGGCAUCAGCACGCGAUGCGAUGGAAGCGAAACCGGUUUCGACGUACCGGAUUUCUUCUCUGACCAUCCUGAUCGGAGGUCCGAAAAUCCCAACCGGCGUAAACAAGAAGGAAUCAGGUGUCCUUCUGGGAAGAGGGGCGCGGUGGAAACGAAGAAACCCCAAGAGAGGAAUCUCUGGAGAGAGCAGAUAGAAGGGGAUAUCCGAUGGUGAUAUGUUGUCCGGUAUGGCUGAUGCAUGUGAGAAUCUUAGCCUUGAUGCUGCAAGUAAAACUUCAACUCCCGUGUCUUUUGAUGCAUAGGUCUGGGAGCAGGAGAGCAGAGCUCCUCAAAACAAUUUGGCAAGAAAGCACCUAGGAAGCAGUUGUUAGAGAACAGGGAUUGGUAGGAGAUUCUAGCUAUCAAGUUCUAAGCUAAUAGGUCGAAAACCGCCACUCAUGUAGAAGUAAAAAGCCGAAAGAGCUAUAAUUCAGAUUCUGCAGCCCCACAUGACAUUUUUGCUUAUUCUGAGGGACCCAACGAUGUUUUCUUAACUCAUUGGUGGGAUGCAACAAAGAAGAAAAGACCAACUCAUGUACUCUUCCUGGAGGUACCCUAACUUUAUCAGAAAAAUGCAUUUCAAGUUUCUGAUCUUUUAAGAAUUAACAUGAUGCUUUACCAUUUCUGAUGGUGAAUCUAGUUUAAUGACAUCUGCAGAUUGCCCCUCUUUGACUUUAUAUCGAUUGAUGCCUCACUAAUAGUGCAAUAUUUUUGUAG
Molecule: non-coding RNA, 784 nt
Organism: Elaeis guineensis (African oil palm)
Lineage: Eukaryota; Viridiplantae; Streptophyta; Magnoliopsida; Arecales; Arecaceae
Source: RefSeq, a predicted model, not a curated record